Molecule: ribosomal RNA, 484 nt
Filed under: uncultured bacterium
Lineage: Bacteria
Description: partial 16S ribosomal RNA
Rfam family: Bacterial small subunit ribosomal RNA
Source: RNAcentral
AUUCAACGCUGGCGGCAGGCCUAACACAUGCAAGUCGAGCGGAUGAAGGGAGCUUGCUCCUGGAUUCAGCGGCGGACGGGUGAGUAAUGCCUAGGAAUCUGCCUGGUAGUGGGGGAUAACGUCCGGAAACGGGCGCUAAUACCGCAUACGUCCUGAGGGAGAAAGUGGGGGAUCUUCGGACCUCACGCUAUCAGAUGAGCCUAGGUCGGAUUAGCUAGUUGGUGGGGUAAAGGCCUACCAAGGCGACGAUCCGUAACUGGUCUGAGAGGAUGAUCAGUCACACUAGAACUGAGACACGGUCCAGACUCCUACGGGAGGCAGCAGUGAGGAAUAUUGGACAAUGGGCGAAAGCCUGAUCCAGCCAUGCCGCGUGUGUGAAGAAGGUCUUCGGAUUGUAAAGCACUUUAAGUUGGGAGGAAGGGCAGUAAGUUAAUACCUUGCUGUUUUGACGUUACCAACAGAAUAAGCACCGGCUAACUUCGUG